GUCUUAUGCUGUCAGUCUUAAGUUUGCUAAGAAAUGAAACAAUGAGUUUCAAAAAGACAAUCUCAGCUCUUUUCUGAAGAACACUUUUCUGCAGGUCCAUAAAUAAAUAAAUUCAAUUUUUGUCUAUGAAGGUUUUUCAAUGAAAUAAAUGCCAGAAUUAGACAUUUCCAAACAACUCUCUGACAAACAAUGUUAAUGAAGGUUUAAUGAUCUGUUUCCAAAAAUGCUCACACCCUAAAAUACUACCUGGUGGAGUGUAAUUCAGUCUAGAGCUAAGACUGGCUGUGCUGAGAGUCACCAUGCAGCACUGUUAAUUAACAGGUGUUUCUGAGGCCUCCCACACACAUACUGCAUCACAGUCACAGCCAAUGUCCUGAUCCAAAUCUCCUCUCUGCUCCACAGAAACAAAGAUCUGCAGCGUUACUACACAGCCCAGCAUUCCUACACCACACUGUGUUGUUCGAGUAUUCUUGGAAACUAGAAGAAACUCCAUCAGGGAUACAGGAAUAGCUUUAGCCACAUUUCCUGGAAACUGUUGACACAAAAACUAAAUUCAUACUCGUUGUUCUCGCAUUGUGGUAGCUACUCUGAUGAGAUUAUUUUCAAAGAUUAACUCAUGUAGAAGGGGAUAAAGGCAAAAUCUGAAUGUUAUAAAUAUAGCAUGCAUGCCCAUGUCGUCUGGUCCAGGUAUCCCUACAGAACAGAGGAAAAAUGAAGGAUGCCUCCAAAGCGUGCAGACAGUAAUCUCCCCUGUGGAGGUCAAAUCUAACAUGGCAGGUUAGUGUCUGUGGAGAUUGACAGCCUGGAGAAAUACUGCUGCCAGGCACCCUCAACGCACAGUGACAGUAAACACCUCCCAGGAAAAAGGCUGGUUACCAAGCCUUAUAGAGCGACUGUCAGAGGGCGCCAGGCAUCAGAGCUGCUGCCGACUCCACACUGACACACUCUGUCAACCUCUCUAUCAUAUCCGAGCCAUCUCAAUAAUGUGAACAUCAAAGUCGCCCAGGAAGUAUACCCAUCUAACCUGUACACAUCUUCAUCAGGAGUAUUUGAGGAAUGUCAUUUUCUCUGCAGUCAUUACAUGUUUGAUGAACACAAAUAAUACACCUUUUCUUCGGUCCUGAGCUUUUUUUUUUUUUUUUAACCAAAUGAGGACAACGUGACUUUCCUUUUACCAUGUAGUAUAGAUCUAUAUGAACUGUAUGUGGAUCACUACUCAACCUUAACAAAAGAUAAGGCUUUUUUGUAUCAUUGAUGGCUAAAAUCUAAUUGACAGAUUUAUCACUGGAGUCAAAUAUUGAAAUAAGACACAUAAAACAGAUUUAUCUUUAAAUAUGCAUCACUGACAUCUCGACUUUGAAUUCUCACAGCGAGACAUCAUGACGUUAAUUCAUAAAGUCUGCAAUUUACAUUUUUGGGGCUCUUUCCUUUAGGUUAUCGCUUAUCUCUAUAUAUUGUUAUACUGUUUGACCAUUACUAUUGUCAUAUGCGUAUUACUCACAUUGCUAGAUGUGCGUUAUGAGUCAGAUAUCAUGUGACACAUCAUACUUUUAUCAGUUCUUCAUUAACAGUUGAUGAAGUCUGUAUCUGUGUGUCAUGACUGUACGAAAUAAAUACCCU
Xyrichtys novacula (pearly razorfish) is the source of this 1620-nucleotide non-coding RNA. The record is from the annotation of a GenBank genome assembly. NCBI's taxonomy places the organism in Eukaryota, Metazoa, Chordata, Actinopteri, Labriformes, Labridae.